CCUACGGGAGGCAGCAGUGAGGAAUAUUGGUCAAUGGGCGCGAGCCUGAACCAGCCAAGUCGCGUGAGGGAAGACGGUCCUAUGGAUUGUAAACCUCUUUUGUCGGGGAGCAAAAGACGCCACGCGUGGCGUUCCGAGAGUACCCGAAGAAAAAGCAUCGGCUAACUCCGUGCCAGCAGCCGCGGUAAUACGGAGGAUGCGAGCGUUAUCCGGAUUUAUUGGGUUUAAAGGGUGCGAAGGCGGGAUGCCAAGUCAGCGGUAAAAUUGCGGGGCUCAACGCCGUCGAGCCGUUGAAACUGGCGUUCUUGAGUGGGCGAGAAGUAUGCGGAAUGCGUGGUGUAGCGGUGAAAUGCAUAGAUAUCACGCAGAACUCCGAUUGCGAAGGCAGCAUACCGGCGCCCUACUGACGCUGAGGCACGAAAGCGUGGGUAUCGAACAGGAUUAGAUACCCCAGUAGUC
This 459-nucleotide ribosomal RNA is filed under the name uncultured bacterium. RNAcentral's name for it is "partial 16S ribosomal RNA". It matches the Rfam family "Bacterial small subunit ribosomal RNA", at positions 338 to 795 of the family's 1533-position model. The record is from RNAcentral.